GUCUACGGCCAUACCACCCUAAACGCGCCCAGUCUUGUCUGAUCUCAGAAGCUAAGCAGGGUCGGGCCUGGUUAGUACUCGGACAGAAGAAA
This 92-nucleotide ribosomal RNA is filed under the name Prolemur simus (greater bamboo lemur). The record is from RNAcentral. Lineage: Eukaryota; Metazoa; Chordata; Mammalia; Primates; Lemuridae.